This is a long non-coding RNA of Oncorhynchus masou masou (cherry salmon), 402 nucleotides long. RefSeq lists it as uncharacterized. The record is from RefSeq and is a predicted model, not a curated record. NCBI's taxonomy places the organism in Eukaryota, Metazoa, Chordata, Actinopteri, Salmoniformes, Salmonidae. The transcript has 3 exons.
CCCUGGGUCGCUCCCACUUCGUCAUCCAUGGAGAACGGCUACGGGACAAACAGGUGAUCCUGGAGUGUGCUCUGAGAAAGAACCUUCUGUACACCAAGGCCACGCCCACCUUCCACCAUUGGAUGGUGGAAGACAGGAGGUGUGGCCUGACGUUCCAGAGGCCUGCUGAUGCUCGGGCCUUCGACAGGGGCGUACGGAAAGCCAUGGAGGACAUGGCAGAAGGCUCCACGACGUCCUCCUCAACACUCCAGAACGAGACAGAACUGGGCGACGAUGACGUGUUCACCGUAAGUACGACCUGUCUCAUUUAGAUGUUUAACUGUCAGAGAUGAUGUGUUCACCGUAAACACGACCUGUCUCAUUUAGAUGUUUAACUGUCAGAGAUGAUGUGUUCACCGUAAA